GAUGAACGCUGGCGGCGUGCCUAAUACAUGCAAGUCGAGCGAACGGACGAGAAGCUUGCUUUUCUGAUGUUAGCGGCGGACGGGUGAGUAACACGUGGAUAACCUACCUAUAAGACUGGGAUAACUUCGGGAAACCGGAGCUAAUACCGGAUAAUAUUUUGAACCGCAUGGUUCAAAAGUGAAAGACGGUCUUGCUGUCACUUAUAGAUGGAUCCGCGCUGCAUUAGCUAGUUGGUAAGGUAACGGCUUACCAAGGCAACGAUGCAUAGCCGACCUGAGAGGGUGAGCGGCCACACUGGAACUGAGACACGGUCCAGACUCCUACGGGAGGCAGCAGUAGGGAAUCUUCCGCAAUGGGCGAAAGCCUGACGGAGCAACGCCGCGUGAGUGAUGAAGGUCUUCGGAUCAUAAAACUCUGUUAUUAGGGAAGAACAUAUGUGUAAGUAACUGUGCACAUCUUGACGGUACCUAAUCAGAAAGCCACGGCUAACUACGUG
RNAcentral lists this ribosomal RNA (497 nucleotides) under uncultured bacterium. RNAcentral's name for it is "partial 16S ribosomal RNA". It matches the Rfam family "Bacterial small subunit ribosomal RNA", at positions 28 to 507 of the family's 1533-position model. The record is from RNAcentral.